GUAUAGAGAAGUUACAGCAGUUGGUAACACUGGCCAGAGCUCGUCAAUUGUUUCGCCAGUUUCGCGGCUCCAUCAGAGGAAAUUUUGUAGACCCAGUAACUAAAUUUGAGUGCGAAUGUUGAAAUAAAAAAAAAAUAAUUCAUAAAAGCAUUCGAAAAUGUAAACGAAAAGCGCACGUUUGAAGCACAA
RNAcentral lists this small RNA (189 nucleotides) under Drosophila erecta. Its description in RNAcentral is "GG26568". Lineage: Eukaryota; Metazoa; Arthropoda; Insecta; Diptera; Drosophilidae. The record is from RNAcentral.